CCCUUAGAUGUUCUGGGCCGCACGCGCGCUACACUGUUCGACGCAGCGAGUCUUAACCUUGACCGAAAGGUUUGGGUAAUCUUCAGCAAAGUCGGACGUGAUGGGGAUCGAUCAUUGCAAUUAUUGAUCGUGAACGAGGAAUUCCUAGUAAGUGCAAGUCAUCAGCUUGCGCUGAUUACGUCCCUGCCCUUUGUACACACCGCCCGUCGCUACUACCGAUUGAAUGGUUUAGUGAGAUCUCUGGAUUGACGCUGGCUAGGGGGCGACCCUUGGCCAGACUGCUCGAGAAACUGCUCAAACUUGAUCAUUUAGAGGAAGUAAAAGUCGUAACA
RNAcentral lists this ribosomal RNA (332 nucleotides) under uncultured eukaryote. RNAcentral's name for it is "partial 18S ribosomal RNA". It matches the Rfam family "Eukaryotic small subunit ribosomal RNA", at positions 1470 to 1796 of the family's 1831-position model. The record is from RNAcentral.